GGAGAGAUGGCUCAGUGGUUAAGAGCACUGACUGCUCUUCAGAGGUCCUGAGUUCAAUUCCCAGCAACCACA
Molecule: transfer RNA, 72 nt
Filed under: Mus musculus (house mouse)
Lineage: Eukaryota; Metazoa; Chordata; Mammalia; Rodentia; Muridae
Description: tRNA-Ser
Source: RNAcentral